GAGGGUGUAGCUCAGUGGUAGAACACAUAUUUAACAUGCAUGAGGUCCUGGGUUCAAUCCCUACUCCCUCC
Molecule: transfer RNA, 71 nt
Filed under: Camelus bactrianus (Bactrian camel)
Lineage: Eukaryota; Metazoa; Chordata; Mammalia; Artiodactyla; Camelidae
Also listed under: 2 other names
Rfam family: tRNA
About the family: Transfer RNA (tRNA) molecules are approximately 80 nucleotides in length. Their secondary structure includes four short double-helical elements and three loops (D, anti-codon, and T loops).
Source: Rfam by way of RNAcentral